This 460-nucleotide ribosomal RNA is filed under the name uncultured bacterium. RNAcentral's name for it is "partial 16S ribosomal RNA". It matches the Rfam family "Bacterial small subunit ribosomal RNA", at positions 338 to 795 of the family's 1533-position model. The record is from RNAcentral.
CCUACGGGAGGCAGCAGUGAGGAAUAUUGGUCAAUGGACGAGAGUCUGAACCAGCCAAGUAGCGUGAAGGAUGACUGUCCUAUGGGUUGUAAACUUCUUUUAUAUGGGAAUAAAAUGUUCCACGUGUGGGAUUUUGUAUGUACCAUAUGAAUAAGGAUCGGCUAACUCCGUGCCAGCAGCCGCGGUAAUACGGAGGAUCCGAGCGUUAUCCGGAUUUAUUGGGUUUAAAGGGAGCGUAGGUGGAUUGUUAAGUCAGUUGUGAAAGUUUGCGGCUCAACCGUAAAAUUGCAGUUGAAACUGGCAGUCUGGAGUACAGUAGAGGUGUGCGGAAUUCGUGGUGUAGCGGUGAAAUGCUUAGAUAUCACGAAGAACUCCGAUUGCGAAGGCAGCUCACUGGACUGCAACUGACACUGAGGCUCGAAAGUGUGGGUAUCAAACAGGAUUAGAUACCCCAGUAGUC